This 305-nucleotide ribosomal RNA is filed under the name uncultured bacterium. RNAcentral's name for it is "bacterial SSU rRNA". It matches the Rfam family "Bacterial small subunit ribosomal RNA", at positions 333 to 634 of the family's 1533-position model. The record is from RNAcentral.
GGGUACCUACGGGGGGCAGCAGUGAGGAAUAUUGGUCAAUGGCCGGAAGGCUGAACCAGCCAAGUCGCGUGAGGGAAUAAGGCCCUAUGGGUCGUAAACCUCUUUUGUCAGGGAGCAAAGGCGUCCACGAGUGGACGAAAGGAGAGUACCUGAAGAAAAAGCAUCGGCUAACUCCGUGCCAGCAGCCGCGGUAAUACGGAGGAUUCAAGCGUUAUCCGGAUUUAUUGGGUUUAAAGGGUGCGUAGGCGGUCGGAUAAGUUAGAGGUGAAAUCCCGAGGCUCAACUUCGGAAUUGCCUCUGAUACU